This 110-nucleotide ribosomal RNA is filed under the name uncultured bacterium. RNAcentral describes it as "partial 16S ribosomal RNA". It matches the Rfam family "Bacterial small subunit ribosomal RNA", at positions 1391 to 1500 of the family's 1533-position model. The record is from RNAcentral.
CGCCCGUCACACCAUGGGAGUCAGUAACGCCCGAAGCCGGUGACCUAACCGAAAGGGAGGAGCCGUCGAAGGUGGGACCGAUAACUGGGGUGAAGUCGUAACAAGGUAAC